Molecule: ribosomal RNA, 739 nt
Filed under: uncultured Paenibacillaceae bacterium
Lineage: Bacteria; Bacillati; Bacillota; Bacilli; Caryophanales; Paenibacillaceae
Description: bacterial SSU rRNA
Rfam family: Bacterial small subunit ribosomal RNA (bases 4-581)
Source: RNAcentral
UUAGAGUUUGAUCCUGGCUCAGGACCCAUAGAGGUGGCGUGCCUAAUACAUGCAAGACGGGCGGAUCCCUCUUUCGGGAUAAGUUAGCGGCGGACGGGUGAGUAACACGUAGGCAACCUGCCUAUAAGACUGGGAUAACUAUCGGAAACGAUAGCUAAGACCGGAUAACUGAUUUUCUCGCAUGAGAAAAUUAUGAAACACGGAGCAAUCUGUGGCUUAUAGAUGGGCCUGCGGCGCAUUAGCUAGUUGGUAGGGUAACGGCCUACCAAGGCGACGAUGCGUAGCCGACCUGAGAGGGUGAACGGCCACACUGGGACUGAGACACGGCCCAUACUCCUACGGGAGGCAGGAGUAGGGAAUCUUCCGCAAUGGACGCAAGUCUGACGGAGCAACCCCGCGUGAGUGAUGAAGGUUUUCGGAUCGUAAAGCUCUGUUGCCCUAGACGAACCGCAAGAGGAGUAACUUCCUUUUGUGUGACGGUAUUAGAGAAAAAAGCCCCCGGUUCAAUACAUUGUCCGCGCUCCCCGUUAAUUUUAUGUGGGGCAGGCUUUCACCCCGCAUUUUUUGGGCCUCUAAGGGCCACCGCAGGCUAGUAUAACUAAGUUGGGGUUUAUAAACCCCUGGGAUCUCACCCCCCGGUCUCCCUCUCAAAACACUGAUUCCUCUUUGUUGUUUCGUCCCAACAAACAGUGAACCUCCCACUUUGCCGCCGUAAAAAUUCGUCUCCGCGUUGUGGGAA